This 932-nucleotide unclassified non-coding RNA is filed under the name Zea mays. RNAcentral describes it as "misc RNA Zm00001eb341510". The record is from RNAcentral. Lineage: Eukaryota; Viridiplantae; Streptophyta; Magnoliopsida; Poales; Poaceae.
GAGGCAUGGCCGCCGGAUCAGGUGCGGCCCGACCACCGGCUAAUCAGCUGCCCUUCCGCGAUGGCAACGCCCGGUACCAUCGCCCUCGACGGCGAGCCCGCCCAGCUAGGAGUGGCCUCCAGAUCAGGUGCGACUCGGUCGUUGGAGAAAGUAAUGUUAUUUGAUACAGGUUUACUCACCGCCACAGACCCAUACUCGCCCCUAAGAGCAGGAAGUGACUUGUUACGAGGCAAACACUUGAGACCUAUCACUGCAAAUAGUGCAAGCAGUGUACCAGCAGAUAUAAUCUUCAAGGCGUCAUUUCUGGAAUCAUGGAUAGCGUCGCAACACUUCCUUGGGCGAGUUUUUCAAGAGAUUUCUCAAGAUCAUCACUUGGGGUAUCCUUGCCUUACAUGUCUAGCUGUUCUAUCAAUGGGAAAACCUUACUGAAAGCUUGAAGAGCACUUGAUUUUACAGUACCAAGCGCAUCAGCCACGACCCCUUGAUUUCUAGCUGUUCUAUCAAUGGGCAAACACUUGAUUUCUGAAGAGCACUCGAUCUGUGGGGCAUGGCACAUUGGAGCACAACAUUGAAAUGCUUUGAAACAAUGAUGGUCCUUCAGAAAUAACUAGCAGUGUUGGGGCCUGUUUGUCUACAGUUCCAUGUUGUCUUGGGGCUUGUUUGGAUCAGCCACGGCCUAACAAUUAGCCCUUGGUAUCCAAACAUGUCCUUAGUCAAAAGAAAUAACUACCAGUGUGUUAUGAAUCAUAUGCAAAAUGAAUACCGAUGGUAUUAAAGAGUUAUCCCUGGACCUUUCAUUUGCAGCAAUCAAGUUUUCAGGAACACUAUAAGUUACAACUGAUGGUGUUCCGUUCUAUAUCUUUCUUCAGGUCUUAAGCAAAAAAACAAAUGCCUUAAUUUCUUUUGUUGAUUUAACCCUUUUGUUCCAAAAC